GCGAAAGUUGUAAUUGCGAUCGUGGUUUCAUCAUUUAUCCGAUCGGCACCAAAUUUUGUAGGAAGUUUCGUGACGUCUAGGUCGUGCUAUCCACCGAAGGGAUUCAGAAGUUAACGGUUAUUUUCUGUUUUAGGGUUUCGUUUCUGUGGCUGUAGUUUUUCUGCUGUUUCUGUCCAUUUUGGUUCAUAGAGAUUUUUGAUUGUGUGGAUUGUUGUUGGGAGUUGUUUGAUUGUUGCAGUCGCG
This 243-nucleotide long non-coding RNA is filed under the name Capsella rubella. RNAcentral describes it as "long non-coding RNA (CRUB_LNC001772)". Lineage: Eukaryota; Viridiplantae; Streptophyta; Magnoliopsida; Brassicales; Brassicaceae. The record is from RNAcentral.